This 497-nucleotide ribosomal RNA is filed under the name uncultured bacterium. Its description in RNAcentral is "partial 16S ribosomal RNA". It matches the Rfam family "Bacterial small subunit ribosomal RNA", at positions 28 to 507 of the family's 1533-position model. The record is from RNAcentral.
GAUGAACGCUGGCGGCGUGCCUAAUACAUGCAAGUCGAACGGACGGACGAGAAGCUUGCUUCUCUCAUGUUAGCGGCGGACGGGUGAAUAACGCGUGGAUCACCUCCCUAUAAUACUGAUAUAACUACGGGACACCGGCUCUAAUCCCAGAUAAUAUCUUGCACCACGUUGGUCGAAAGUGAAAUACGGUCUUGGGGUCACGUCUCGCUGGAUCCGCGCUUCAUGAGCUAGUUGGUAAGGUACAGGCCUACCACGGCAACGAUGCAUAGCCGAACUGAGAGGGGGAUCGGCCACAUUGGAGCUGAGACACGGUCCAGACGACUGCGGGAGGGAGCAGUAGGGAAUCUGCCGCAAUGGGCGAAAGCCUGACGGAGUAACGCCGCGUGAGUUAUGACGGUCUUGCGAUCGUAAAACUCGGUUACUGGGGAAGAACAUAUGUGUAAGUAAACGUGGAGAGCUUGACGGUACCGAAUCAGAAAGCAACGGCUAACUACGUG